GGGGAUGAAAGGAUUUCGACUGGGGUCAAGACCCAGGGUAAGCGGGUAGCGGUGCCAGACCGCUUCAACAACCGGCAACUUAAAAAUUAACUGACAAAAACAGUAAAGUUUUAGCUGCUGCCUAAGUGCACAGCCGUUCUCUUCGGGAGCGCCGCGGCCUGAAAGAGAGCGUCGUUUAGCGGCGUCCGUGAACAAAGGUUUUUUCCGCCCUUUGUCAUGCAAUAGGGAAUACCGUAACCAAAAGCCUGUCCGCCGGCGUUUGGCGAGGGGAAUCCUAAAAGACGGAAUACACCCGUAGAAAAUCCUGCAGACGGAUUUCAGGACAGGGGUUCGACUCCCCUCAUCUCCACCA
This 352-nucleotide transfer-messenger RNA is filed under the name Candidatus Scybalenecus merdavium. RNAcentral's name for it is "Scybalenecus merdavium Standard tmRNA". It matches the Rfam family "transfer-messenger RNA". Rfam says of the family: Bacterial tmRNA, also known as 10Sa RNA or SsrA, is named for its dual tRNA and mRNA-like properties. Its role is to liberate the mRNA from a stalled ribosome. The record is from RNAcentral. Lineage: Bacteria; Bacillati; Bacillota; Clostridia; Eubacteriales; Oscillospiraceae.